This 91-nucleotide transfer RNA is filed under the name Bacteroidia bacterium. RNAcentral describes it as "tRNA-Ser". It matches the Rfam family "tRNA". From Rfam's summary of the family: Transfer RNA (tRNA) molecules are approximately 80 nucleotides in length. The record is from RNAcentral. Lineage: Bacteria; Pseudomonadati; Bacteroidota; Bacteroidia.
GGUGGGAUGGGUGAGUGGCUUAAACCAGUAGUUUGCUAAACUGCCGUACCUCUCAAGGGUACCCCGGGUUCGAAUCCCGGUCCCACCGCCA